Sebastes umbrosus (honeycomb rockfish) is the source of this 227-nucleotide long non-coding RNA. RefSeq lists it as uncharacterized. The record is from RefSeq and is a predicted model, not a curated record. Lineage: Eukaryota; Metazoa; Chordata; Actinopteri; Perciformes; Sebastidae. The transcript is spliced from 3 exons.
AGCUGAAGUUUAUAUUUCUUUACUAUUAAAAGUGCUAAAAAAUACAUCCAUAUAGCGUUUGUUGUGCUUAAAUACAAGGUGCAAAUUCUUAGUAUCGAUACAAUAGAUUAUUCACCUUGCAAAUCGAUUUUAGAUCGAUAUACGUCCCCCGUGAAGGACAACUUGCCGAGUACCUAUAGAUGUAGUUGGAUCGUAGGAAUAUAAAUCAAUAUCGAUGUAAUAGAUGA